Molecule: long non-coding RNA, 2523 nt
Filed under: Malus domestica (apple)
Lineage: Eukaryota; Viridiplantae; Streptophyta; Magnoliopsida; Rosales; Rosaceae
Description: long non-coding RNA (MDOM_LNC019223)
Source: RNAcentral
AGUAAUCACUUUAGUUUGUGUUUUUAAGUGUCUUGAGUCAAGUCAUAACCCAAUUUUGUCCAAUUUAGUGUUAGGUGUUCAAAACUGCCCAGAAAGUGUUUUUAAGGCAGUUUUGAGUGUUUAUUUGCUGUUUUGAAUCUUUUUGUUUAUCUUAGUAUUUUAAAGUAUAGUUUUGCAUUCUUUGAGUCUAGUUUAGCGUUUUAAACUUUGUUUUUACGUUUUCAAGUCAGUUUUCAAGUGAUUUAGCAAUCCCUCCUAAUCCCCGGCCUAGAACGAUCCCUACUUACAUACUUUACUACAUUUGAUAAAAAGAGGGUUUAAUUUGUGUGCUUAUAUAUUUCGCAUCACAAUUAAGUGUGUGCUCGAGGGUAAGGAUAACUAAAAUCUGUGGGAGUAGUGAUUUUCAACAUGUCAUGUUUCAUUGGAAAUCCCUGAGUCAAAUGUUGGAAGGUUUAGGUUAUGUUUUGUUUGUUUUAUUUUGCUCGAGGACUAGCAAAAGCUAAGUGUGGGGGAAUUUGAUAGGAGCAUAUUUAUGCGACUUAGUUAGCUUGUUUUCUUGCAUUUAUGUUGUUAGUUCCUAAUUAUUUUAGUAUGUUAAGCUAUUUUCGUGUGUUUGUAGGUCCAAAGGGCUAAAGUAGCAAGAAAGUGAAAUUUGGUGCAUUUUGGAGCAGUUUUGGGCUUGGAAUGAAUAGCACAUGCUUGGAGCAAGGUGGAUGAACGAAUUUGAAGUUCAAAGGAGGCUAGGAAUGUGCAAAGAAAUGAAGGAAAUAAAUUCAAGACAAAAGAAAUCAAAGAGCCCAGCAAUAAAGAAGGAAUGUUACCCAAGUUACCUUAUUUUAUCCUAAUCCUUUCCUAAUCCUACACCACCUAAUUUCCAGCUGCAAAGAGGAUCCUUAAUUAUUUUAGGACACUUAAAUAAUGAUUCUAGAAGGCCUAAUCCCAUUCCUAAAGGGAGCCGCACCUAUUUCUUCUAGAAACCCCUUUCCCUUGCAGUGCAAGGCAUUCCCCUUUCCCUUUAGGAUCCUGCCGCAUAUCCCUUUCCCUUUCUCUUUUGAAUUCCGACAUUUAUUGAUAGGAGCAUAUUUAUGCAACUUAAUUAGCUUGUUUUCUUGCAUUUUCAUAGCAAGUUUGUGUUUAUUAUAGUGAUUUAAGCUAUUUUCGUGUGCUUGUAGGUCUAAUUGGUAAAGUUGGCAAGAAAGUGCAUUUUGAAGCAUUUCAGAGCAAUUUUGGGCUGAAUUGGAUUGCAUGCAUGUGGAGCACAAAGAAUGGAUGUUUUUGAAGAUCAAGUGAAGCUAGGAACGUGCUAAAGAGAUGGAGAAAUCAAUUCAAGACUUGGAAGAUGAAUAAUCAGCUACAAGGGCACCUAAAUCCCUUCUAGAAGGGCUAUCCCUUCUCCUAAACAUAUGCCGCACCACCCUUUCUAGAAGCUCUAGAAAUGUGGCACCCUAAACCCUUCUAGAAGUCUCAAUUUCUGCACAAAACAUUUUUUUUUCUAGAAGCCCUAGAAAGGUGGCGCCCCAAACCCUUCUAGAAACCCUAAAAUCCUCCAGAAACCCUAGUUAUUUUCCCCCUUGGAAUGGGCCAAGCCUUAUGCCUCAAACCUGAUGUGAAGAUUAACUUAACACACAAAUUUAACCCUCUUUUGACAAUUGUAGUAUAAGUAUAAGUAAGGAUCGUUCUGGACCAGGGAUUAUGAGGGCUUGCUAAUAACCUCUAAACUGACUCAAAAACAUAAAACUAAACUUAAAAACACUUAACAAGACUCACAAGACUCAAAGCAAACUUAAAAUACUCAAAACAGCUUAAAACAACCAAAUAAACUUAAACUAGACAUUAGGAAUGACUUUGGACGAAAAUUGACUUUCACUUGAAUAAAAACACUUAAAAACAUAAGCUAAAACAGAUUUGAAACACUUUGAAACAAGAAACUAAAGGGGAGGUUUUGAUUUGGAUGAAGUUGAAACAAACAAACAAGUAUGAAAAACUAGACAUAUUGUAAAAUAAAUUUGAGAAAUAAGAUGAUGGAUGGGAUAGCUAGAGGCUUUUUCUCCACACAUGACAUGUAUGCAAACAACUCGAUUUCCAGUUACUACUUCAUUGAAUUAUGAACGACAAUGCCCCAAAUUAACUGUGACAUCACUAGUUAACCCUCAGAUUUUUCUUAUUUUAUUAGAUUGGAUGACAUCAUUCGACAACCCAAAACAUUCUUCAAAAGUUCCCUACAUGACAUCAUAAUAGAGAUACAAUCAAAGAUCAUUACGUUUAACGAAAAUCAUAAGCAUUGACAAAGCACUUGCAACUAUGACAUCAUGUCACUCAUGCUAGAAUUAAACUUAACGCGAUCGUUUAUAAGCGACCUCCACUACUUAUGAAUAUAAGUUUGUAACGAUUAUGUGAAAUUUUCUUAUAUUCUAGCAUCGGAUUUAUGCAUGCCAAUUAAGUGUCGACCCUUAAUCAACAAAUACAAAUAAGUUAUCAAUCAAAUAGUUAAGCCAAUUGCAUGCACGAUUCAAGAGUUCAUAA